AUUGAACGCUGGCGGCAUGCCUUACACAUGCAAGUCGAACGGUAACGGGCCUUCGGGUGCCGACGAGUGGCGAACGGGUGAGUAAUACAUCGGAACGUGCCCGAUCGUGGGGGAUAACGAGGCGAAAGCUUUGCUAAUACCGCAUACGAUCUACGGCUGAAAGCAGGGGACCGCAGGGCCUUGCGCGGACGGAGCGGCCGAUGGCAGAGUAGGUAGGUGGUGGGAUAAAAGCUUACCAAGCCGACGAUCUGUAGCUGGUCUGAGAGGAUGAUCAGCCACACUGGGACUGAGACACGGCCCAGACUCCUACGGGAGACAGCAGUGGGGAAUUUUGGACAAUGGGCGCAAGCCUGAUCCAGCCAUGCCGCGUGCAGGAUGAAGGCGUUCGGGUUGUAAACUGCUUUUGUACGGAACGAAAAGCCUUCUUCUAAUACAGGAGGAUCAUGACGGUACCGUAAGAAUAAGCACCGGCUAACUACGUGCCAGCCGCCGCAGUAA
This 498-nucleotide ribosomal RNA is filed under the name uncultured bacterium. Its description in RNAcentral is "partial 16S ribosomal RNA". It matches the Rfam family "Bacterial small subunit ribosomal RNA", at positions 30 to 523 of the family's 1533-position model. The record is from RNAcentral.